UGAGUAACCUGCCCUUAACUCUGGGAUAAGCCUGGGAAACUGGGUCUAAUACCGGAUAUGACUCCUCAUCGCAUGGUGGGGGGUGGAAAGCUUUUUGUGGUUUUGGAUGGACUCGCGGCCUAUCAGCUUGUUGGUGAGAUAAUGGCUCACCAAGGCGACGACGGGUAGCCGGCCUGAGAGGGUGACUGGCCACACUGGGACUGAGACACGGCCCAGACUCCGUACGGGAGCAG
RNAcentral lists this ribosomal RNA (233 nucleotides) under uncultured bacterium. Its description in RNAcentral is "partial 16S ribosomal RNA". It matches the Rfam family "Bacterial small subunit ribosomal RNA", at positions 118 to 347 of the family's 1533-position model. The record is from RNAcentral.